Molecule: long non-coding RNA, 1483 nt
Organism: Armigeres subalbatus
Lineage: Eukaryota; Metazoa; Arthropoda; Insecta; Diptera; Culicidae
Exons: 5
Source: RefSeq, a predicted model, not a curated record
GGAAGAGGCAAAAGUGGUCCGUAUUUGUUUCGCGUCGUGGUGUAAUUUAAAAUUUGAUCGUCAAUCAGUAAUUUGUUCGAUCUCAGUUGCGGCAGUGCGUGUUACUAGUUUAGGAAAGGUGCGAGGCAGCGAAGCCAUUUGCCGUUACACCACCAUCCCAUUAGAGACCGCUUUUGACCCCACUCGUCGGCGUCGAGGUAAUCCCGGGGCACACGUGGCCGGAAGAGGGCCGCGUCACGUUCCUUUUACGCGCCCUAGACAGGCAGGCUCAUCCAACUCAUCAGCGUCCAACCGACAGCAGCGAGAACUAUUGUUCGACGAACGGACGCAUGUGCCGCGUUCAAGCGUAAGACCACGCGCCAGGUGAGAGAGUCAUCAACGAUCGACACGUAAAGCCGUCGACAUCGGGCCGGAGUAGUGCGUAAGCUCUGUGUGCUCAGCCGCCGACUCAUCACCAUCCAACCAUCCACGUAAAACCUAGUAAGUGCGACGUUGUGCUGCUGUUGAAUUCGGUCACAAAGGAAGCGGAAGAGCCCUGAAAGAUCGAACCCUCCAGAAACUAGUGGACGUCAUUAAAACAAUUUCUGGUAUUUUCGCCGACGGACGGUUCCGGUACUGUUAAGUUGAAUUAUUGAAAACGCUCGAGAAGUUCUUCAUUUCCUUCUGCAAGUUCUGAAUCAGGCCGUUCAAGUGCUGGACGAACGAUCUGCGGAGGAAAUACGGAGCUACAUCAAUGAGGGCCAGCCGCACGAAGAGUUCCGCAAUGAGAAUGUUUUCAUCGUCCAUCAGAAGAAGGCGGGUGAGCUGAAAUCAAAAUUGAAUGAAGCAAAAACCUCUGUUGAAAUGCUAGGCGAACGAACUUCGAUUUCCGCAGGAAAUCUAGAACAGCUGGAGAAAGAAAAUGUUCCGCACGAGUUCUUGAGAGCCCCAGACGAGCAUUCCGCAAGAGAGACCCCUAGUACAGCUGCAAUUCCCUGCCGAAAGGUUUCAUAGCGCAUACAGUAAACGGCCGAAGUUAAUUCGACGAAUAAUUCCAUGAAGAAUCUGUCGGCAUUUGAUGAGACCUCAAUGCUUUCGAGCAACACUCCGCUGAAGGAGAAGGGCGAUUCUGAGUGUGAUGUGGUUCCAGCAUACCGAUUCGGAAGAUAUUAAACGACUGAUUUUUCCAUGAAGGAUAACAUUGGAAAAUACUAUUUGUGGACCUGCUCUUGUUGUACCGUAGACGACGCGGAUUGAAGCUGGAGUCGCCGCUUGAAUUCGACGAACGACAUCGGAGGCUUUGUUCACCUAUAUAGGGGACCCAGUACAGACGAUGAACGUUAUAUCAUCGGAUACAAGCAAUUGGUUCCUGAUAAAGGAUUGAUGCAUUUUUUAGAUAUAACCUUCCUGUGAUUGUUCUUUGAUAUGUUAGAUAGAUUGUUCUAUGUAGUUGAGCAUUCAAUAAAUUAUGCCUAAUUCAGAUCAAAUCUUUGUUAAUGCUUUU